UUGUUGAAUUGACCAAAAGGGUCCCGGAACUGUCGAGAGGGGUGGGUGGAAGGAGGGCAGGGGCUAGGGAGGCGAUUUUGACCGCCUCGUCGCCGGCGGGAGUUUUGCUCCGUGUUUCUGGCUAGCUGUUGUUCGUGGGGUGGGGCUUCUGAUGUUUUGCUUGCUGGGCGGAGCAGGGGAGGGGGACGGGAGGUGGUUUUGGAUCUGAUUUCGCCGACGGCGAGCUUUGCCUACCGGCGCGGUGAGUCUUUGUCCGGCGAAGGCGUUCAGGCGAAGGCAGUGGGGGGUAGCGGUGCGUGUUUGUGCUUGUCGGCGUCAGAGUCCCCCCCGCCCCACACUCUAUUAUGUCGUUGUUUGCUCGAGAUUUUGCUACUGACCCGCUGAUUUUUGUCGUGGAUAUGCCAUCUCUGUCCUCUUCGGGAUCUGCCUGUGCUUGUUGCGGUGAGUGAUUCAUCUGUUCCCUAGGGAGAAAUCGGUGUAUUUGGUUGCUGUGAUGCCGGUUGCACUCUGCUCUAGGUUGUUUUUACUUUCAGAUUUUGGAAUUAGAGUUGGUGAAAGUCUGCAUGUAUUUAUGUUGUCAGAUAGUGGUCAGAUUAAGGAGCCAGAUUAUGCCUUAUGUCUUGUGCUAUGUGAUGUGGACCUAAUUUCCAGUGUAACUUCCCCCAUGCCUUCAUGGGAGAUACCGAGAUAGUGUUAUUGGUUCUGAUGAGGAGGAUUUAAGCUCGGAUUCUGACCUUGACGACUCGGAUAUUGGCAAUGAACCAUCUCGGCCGCCACUUAAAGUUGUUGAUUUAGAUGAUGACAAUAACCAAGAUAAGCCUAAUGUAGAAAAGUAAUAGCACUGAUAAUUGCUUUUCAGUAUUAGAUUUUGUGCAUUCCCUAAACUGACUGCAUCAAUCUCUUACAUAGGUCCGUCCUGAUUUUAGUUGAUUGCUGUCAUUUGGUGACCAUGGGGCAAUUUCAUGUUCUUUUAAAACAUUAUCCACUUGCAUAGUAAAAUUGUAGAACAAUCUCCCUGUUGUAUUCAAUUCAGACCAUGAGAUAUGACCACUGCCACGUUUUUAUCUAUAUGUACUUGGUAAAUGGCACUGGUGCCAUAUGUUCAGUUGAAUUGAGUCUGUGUCUGAUCCUAGCGGGAAAAGGAGGGAAACGGAUACUCAAUUUAAAGUGAGUAAACAGAAUUCCAUACUCGAUCUCAUAGAUCCCUAUAGAAUUCUGUGGAAAGCCGUAUUCGAUGAAAGUCGUAUGUACGGCUUGGAGGGAGAUCUUUCCUAUCUUUCGAGAUCCACCCUACAAUAUGGGGUCAAAAAGCCAAAAAAAUAAGUGAUUUUAGCCCUUAUAAAAAGAAAA
This is a long non-coding RNA of Brachypodium distachyon (stiff brome), 1350 nucleotides long. RefSeq lists it as uncharacterized. The transcript is spliced from 3 exons. Lineage: Eukaryota; Viridiplantae; Streptophyta; Magnoliopsida; Poales; Poaceae. The record is from RefSeq and is a predicted model, not a curated record.